GAUGAACGCUGGCGGCGUGCCUAAUACAUGCAAGUCGAGCGAACAGACGAGGAGCUUGCUCCUCUGACGUUAGCGGCGGACGGGUGAGUAACACGUGGAUAACCUACCUAUAAGACUGGGAUAACUUCGGGAAACCGGAGCUAAUACCGGAUAAUAUAUUGAACCGCAUUGUUCAAUAGUGAAAGACGGUUUUGCUGUCACUUAUAGAUUGAUCCGCGCCGCAUUAGCUAGUUGGUAAGGUAACGGCUUACCAAGGCAACGAUGCGUAGCCGACCUGAGAGGGUGAUCGGCCACACUGGAACUGAGACACGGUCCAGACUCCUACGGGAGGCAGCAGUAGGGAAUCUUCCGCAAUGGGCGAAAGCCUGACGGAGCAACGCCGCGUGAGUGAUGAAGGUCUUCGGAUCGUAAAACUCUGUUAUUAGGGAAGAACAAAUGUGUAAGUAACUAUGCACGUCUUGACGGUACCUAAUCAGAAAGCCACGGCUAACUACGUG
Molecule: ribosomal RNA, 497 nt
Filed under: uncultured bacterium
Lineage: Bacteria
Description: partial 16S ribosomal RNA
Rfam family: Bacterial small subunit ribosomal RNA
Source: RNAcentral